RNAcentral lists this non-coding RNA (25 nucleotides) under Cricetulus griseus (Chinese hamster). The record is from RNAcentral. Lineage: Eukaryota; Metazoa; Chordata; Mammalia; Rodentia; Cricetidae.
UGAGGGAGUUUGUGACUGGAUCAGA